Molecule: ribosomal RNA, 460 nt
Filed under: uncultured Sphingobacteriales bacterium
Lineage: Bacteria; Pseudomonadati; Bacteroidota; Sphingobacteriia; Sphingobacteriales
Description: bacterial SSU rRNA
Rfam family: Bacterial small subunit ribosomal RNA
Source: RNAcentral
CCCGCACAAGCGGUGGAGCAUGUGGUUUAAUUCGAUGAUACGCGAGGAACCUUACCUGGGCUCAAAUGUAUGUUGACGUAUUCUGAAAGGGAUACUUCUUCGGACAAUAUACAAGGUGCUGCAUGGUUGUCGUCAGCUCGUGCCGUGAGGUGUCGGGUUAAGUCCCAUAACGAGCGCAACCCCUAUCAUUAGUUGCCAUCAGGUCAAGCUGGGGACUCUAAUGAAACUGCCUACGCAAGUAGUGAGGAAGGUGGGGAUGACGUCAAAUCAGCACGGCCCUUACGUCCAGGGCUACACACGUGCUACAAUGGCCGGUACAAAGGGCAGCUACCUGGUGACAGGAUGCUAAUCUCAAAAGCCGGUCUCAGUUCGGAUCGGAGUCUGCAACCCGACUCUGUGAAGCUGGAAUCGCUAGUAAUCGCGCAUCAGCCAUGGCGCGGUGAAUACGUUCCCGGGCCUU